This 21-nucleotide non-coding RNA is filed under the name Caenorhabditis elegans. Lineage: Eukaryota; Metazoa; Nematoda; Chromadorea; Rhabditida; Rhabditidae. The record is from RNAcentral.
UCACGUUGAAACUAAAAUGUC